ACCUCAAGUCAUGUGAGAGUACCCGCUGAACUUAAGCAUAUCAAUAAGCGGAGGAAAAGAAACUAACAAGGAUUCCCCUAGUAACGGCGAGUGAAGCGGGAAGAGCACAAAUUUAAAAUCUACCUGGUUUUCAGGUCGAGUUGUAAUUUGAAGAUACGUUUUUGACGUUCUAGGUUGGACUAAAUCCUUUGGGAUAAGGUAUCAUAGAGGGUGAGAAUCCCGUAUAUACCAACCGUAGGGAUGUUAUUAAAUACGUUUCUAAGAGUCGAGUUGUUUGGGAAUGCAGCUCUAAAUAGGUGGUAAAUUUCACCUAAUGCUAAAUAUAAGCGAGAGACCGAUAGCGAACAAGUACAGUGAUGGAAAGAUGAAAAGAACUUUGAAAAGAGAGUUAAAUAGUACGUGAAAUUGUUGAAAGGGAAACGAUUGAAGUCAGUCAUGCCGGUGGGAAUCAACUUAGGGGAAACUCUGGGUGCACUUCUUCGCUUGGCAGGUCAACGUCGAUUUUGAAUGUCAUAAAAUAAUUGGGGGAAGGUAGCUCCUUCGGGAGUGUUAUAGCCCUUGAUAGAUGUGAUGUUUGGGGUCGAGGAUUGCAACGGAUACCCUUCGGGGCUAGCCGCCUGAUCUCUAAUUGGUGUUGGGUUACGGAUAGCAUGCUGACCGUGAUCUAAUUACUGGUUAAAAGGUUAGAGUGUGCAUAAAUUCGUUAAGGACGUUGACGUAAUGGCUUUAAACGACCCGUCUUGAAACACGGACCAAGGAGUCUAACAUGUGUGCGAGUGUUAGGGUAUUAAACCCAGACGCGAAAUGAAAGUGAGUGUAGGUGGGAUCCUUUAUUGGAGCACCAUCGACCGAUCUUGAGAUUUAUCGAUAGAAUUGAGUUAGAGC
This 885-nucleotide ribosomal RNA is filed under the name Gigaspora margarita. Its description in RNAcentral is "eukaryotic LSU rRNA". It matches the Rfam family "Eukaryotic large subunit ribosomal RNA", at positions 1 to 801 of the family's 3401-position model. The record is from RNAcentral. Lineage: Eukaryota; Fungi; Glomeromycota; Glomeromycetes; Diversisporales; Gigasporaceae.